Molecule: ribosomal RNA, 405 nt
Filed under: Lomentospora prolificans
Lineage: Eukaryota; Fungi; Ascomycota; Sordariomycetes; Microascales; Microascaceae
Description: Scedosporium prolificans Eukaryotic large subunit ribosomal RNA
Rfam family: Eukaryotic large subunit ribosomal RNA
Source: Rfam by way of RNAcentral
AUAGGACAAGAUGGUAUAAUGGCGCGUGAUUUUGAUUUUCAGUGUAAAGACAAACGAUUAAAGUGUGGGCGAUCGAUCCUUUAGUCCAUAGGUGUUUGAGGCUAGAGGUACCAGAAAAGUUACCACAGGGAUAACUGGCUGGUAGCAGACAAGCGUUCAUAGCGACGUCGCUGUUUGAUCCUUCGAUGUAGGCUCUUCCUAUCAUCCCGAAGCUGCCUUAGGCAAGCUUUGGAUUGUUCACCCACUGGUAGUGAACGUGAGCGGGGGUUAGGCCGUCGUGAUGCCGGUUAGUUUAACCGUACUCUUGAUUUUGACGCAUUGGUACUUCAGCGCAGUUCGAGACGAUCAGCGGAUUCAGUGAACUGGUUGUGGCGCCUGUCCGCGAGGGCAGUACGUGAGGAAGCG